This 372-nucleotide ribosomal RNA is filed under the name uncultured bacterium. RNAcentral describes it as "bacterial SSU rRNA". It matches the Rfam family "Bacterial small subunit ribosomal RNA", at positions 434 to 793 of the family's 1533-position model. The record is from RNAcentral.
CAGUAGGGAGGAAGGUAGUGUAGUUAACACCUGCAUUAUUUGACGUUACCUACAGAAGAAGCACCGGCUAACUCCGUGCCAGCAGCCGCGGUAAUACGGAGGGUGCGAGCGUUAAUCGGAAUUACUGGGCGUAAAGCGCAUGCAGGCGGCCUGUUAAGUCAGAUGUGAAAGACCCGGGGCGUUAACCUCGGAAUUGCAUUUGAAACUAGGCAGGCUAGAGUCUUGUAGAGGGGGGUAGGAAGUUUACAGGUGUAGCGGUGAAAUAGCGUAGAGAUCUGAAGGAAUACCAGUGGCGAAGGCGGCCCCCUCGGACAAAGACUGACGCUCAGAUGCGAAAGCGUGGGGAGCAAACAGGAUUAGAUACCCUGGUAG